RNA transcript from Papilio polytes (common Mormon), 652 nucleotides. It is a transcript of the gene named lysozyme-like, with no coding region annotated. The transcript has 4 exons. NCBI's taxonomy places the organism in Eukaryota, Metazoa, Arthropoda, Insecta, Lepidoptera, Papilionidae. The record is from RefSeq and is a predicted model, not a curated record.
GAUGCUACAAUCGUCAUAGUAACUACAUCUCUUUGUAAGUGCAGACGCGUUGUUUCUAUAUAAUUCACAAUAUCUACGCAAUAUGAAGUUCUUAAUAAUUUUGUUUUCUCUCGGCGUGUUCUUACAUUGCGAAGCUAAACUCCUGAAUAGAUGUGAGUUGGUACAGCAGUUAAGGAGUCAUGGUUUCCCUGAGGAUAAGAUGAGAGAUUGGGUCUGUCUGGUGGAAAGCGAGAGUUCCGGGCGCACGCACAAGAUCGGUAAAGUAAACAAGAAUGGUUCCCGGGACUACGGUCUGUUCCAGAUCAACGAUAAGUACUGGUGCAGCAACACAAGCUCUCCUGGUAAAGACUGCAAUGUCACCUGUGCUGACCUCAUAACUGAUGACAUCACGAAGGCGGCGAAAUGCGCUAAGAAAGUGUUCAAACGCCACGGAUUCAGAGCUUGGUAUGGAUGGAGGAACAAGUGUCAGGGAUCUCUGCCCGAUAUCAGUUCCUGCUAGAAGAUAAGAAGAAAGGAUAAAACCGAAGAUUUUAUAAUCUCUUUAUAGUAAUUUUUUAAAUAUUUAAUGAUCUAAUGUCGGGUAAAGGUUUACCACGGCAGCGGUUUGCCCAGCCGUACCAAGCGUUGAAGCCAUGUCGUCUGAAUAUCUUCU